GACGAACGCUGGCGGCGUGCUUAACACAUGCAAGUCGAACGAUGAAGCUGGAGCUUGCUCCGGUGGAUUAGUGGCGAACGGGUGAGUAACACGUGAGUAAUCUGCCCUUGACUCUGGGAUAACUGCGGGAAACUGUAGCUAAUACCGGAUACGACACCUUCGGGCAUCCGAUGGGUGUGGAAAGAAUUUAGGUCAAGGUUGAACACGCGGCCUAUCAGCUAGUUGGUGAGGUAAUGGCUCACCAAGGCGACGACGGGUAGCCGGCCUGAGAGGGUGACCGGCCACACUGGGACUGAGACACGGCCCAGACUCCUACGGGAGGCAGCAGUGGGGAAUAUUGCACAAUGGGCGAAAGCCUGAUGCAGCAACGCCGCGUGAGGGAUGAAGGCCUUCGGGUUGUAACCUCUUUUAGUUGGGAAGAAGCGAAGGUGACGGUACCAACAGAAAAAGCACCGGCUAACUACGUGCCAGCAGCCGCCGUAA
This 483-nucleotide ribosomal RNA is filed under the name uncultured bacterium. RNAcentral's name for it is "partial 16S ribosomal RNA". It matches the Rfam family "Bacterial small subunit ribosomal RNA", at positions 28 to 523 of the family's 1533-position model. The record is from RNAcentral.